CGAAAGAAACGAGGUGUGUGACGCUUGAAAGUUUGGUGAAACUACUGGCCCUCGUGUCCUUGCGAGGUUUAAAGAUGUUAAGAAAAAUAUUUUAAAAUUAAGAUGACCCCCUACUUGAUUUGCUUCAUAAUGUAUUGUACUGUGUAGCAUUUCGAGUCGGAGGUCAUCUCAAGUUUUUAUUAAUGUUUAAUCUUCGCAAAGACACGAGGGCCUGUGGGUGAAACCCACAGGCCUGGGUAUGGUGCUCACAAAAGUAGAAACACAACGAUAACGAAACGGGAUUUGAACCUAUAAUUUCAGGUUCCUAGCCUGCCAAAUGGACACAACCCUGCACAUCGCCUUGCACGACUGGGCACCCGUGUUCCCAAACAUCACUAUACCGGCAGAGGGAGUUUCUCGUUGUCAACGUCCUUUGUCCUUUGUGCUCGUGAUGUUUAAGUUCAACAAGGUCAAGGCCAACGAAAAGAAGACAGACAACCAAAAGAUAAAGUGCAACAUCCGGGCCUGCGUGAUCCUCCUCC
This is a long non-coding RNA of Haliotis rubra (blacklip abalone), 521 nucleotides long. RefSeq lists it as uncharacterized. The record is from RefSeq and is a predicted model, not a curated record. The transcript has 3 exons. NCBI's taxonomy places the organism in Eukaryota, Metazoa, Mollusca, Gastropoda, Lepetellida, Haliotidae.